Molecule: long non-coding RNA, 614 nt
Organism: Daucus carota subsp. sativus
Lineage: Eukaryota; Viridiplantae; Streptophyta; Magnoliopsida; Apiales; Apiaceae
Exons: 2
Source: RefSeq, a predicted model, not a curated record
GCCACUGCCAGCAAUCCCUACAUAUAAAAACACAUCGUUUAUGUUGUACAGCCGUCGUUGUCUGAAGCUCCUACGAUAUUGACGGUGUGUAUAAUCUAAUUUUGCAGCUUCUUUCGAAUCCGUCCAUAAGAAAUGGAGAAAUCUUCAACUCCAAAAAGCCAAGAUUCCAGCCCCUCGAGCAACACAAAUCAGUCGGAGGUUUCAGCAAUUACAGUGCAACUGCAAGAAGUACAACCAUUCCAGCAGAAUUCAGGUACACAUGAAGAUGGAGACUCAAACUACCAGAAACGGCUGCAAGAAACACUAAAGCGGGCAGUAGAUCUUCUUCACCGACUUCAGCGAAGGGAAGAAAAGUGAAGUCAUGGUGAUACUUUUUGCAUCAUUGCAUGCAGCUACAAUCGUUCGUUGAUUAGUGACUAAAGAAAAGGAUAAUUAGAUGUUGCUUUGGAUAUUUUACUUUAAGGAGGUUGCUUUUUUAAAUUACUGUUGGAAGAUCGUGGAUUUAUGGGUUUUCUUGGAAAACAAUUUCCCGUAAUCUCUCAAACAGGUAGGAAAAUUUUCUAGUAAUUUUUCAUUUAAGAGCUUGAAUAAAGAACCUCUUGGAGAUGCUCUAA